Oryzias melastigma (Indian medaka) is the source of this 2735-nucleotide long non-coding RNA. RefSeq lists it as uncharacterized. The transcript is spliced from 2 exons. NCBI's taxonomy places the organism in Eukaryota, Metazoa, Chordata, Actinopteri, Beloniformes, Adrianichthyidae. The record is from RefSeq and is a predicted model, not a curated record.
CCGGGGUUGUUGUCUUGAAAGACAAAAACGUGUCUAUAUUUGGAUGCGGGAGCGGUGAGGUCAUGAUGAGCCUGCAGCACUGCGCUGCAUGGAGCAUGAAGGAGGUUCUGCUGUCCUACAAGUCCCCGGACGUGGAGUAAAUGUGUCACUUUGUCCACGCGUGUUCCCACUCCAGCAUCUCUGUUUGCUCCUGCAGGAUGAGGUGUCCUCAAACCUGGCGUUACGCGCAGGACUUUUCCUGGUUUGAACCUUUUCACCUGUUGGAUUAUGCAAGAUCGGAAAAGAUAUGGGGAGAAGUGCACCUUUUAGCUCCUCCCUGCUCCUCACACCCCCAGUGAGGGAGGUCACGGCAGCCAAUCGCAUAGAAUCCCGCUCCCGCAUCAAUAGGAGACAGUCAGUGGGCGGAAACUCCGCGUUGCUUGUAUAUAAGGGGAAACGCGUGGGAUGUUUGCGUUGCAAUGAGUUGGGCUGAAAUGCCCGCAUCCUGACCGGGCAGAAGGAGGAGAGAGCACGCGCUGACCGUGAGGCGUGCCCCCCACACACAACAGGCGGUUCAUGAGUUGAUCCCUGAGACCUUUGCUGCCCCCCUCCCUCCCCACGCCGCCAUGGACGUCCACCCUUCCGCAGCAGCAGCAGCAGCCUCGGAGCGGAGCGCUGUCCACCCGCUGUGGUGCUGAACCGGCGCAGGUCACAGACUGACUGAGGGGGGAAACACCGAAACGAGCGCGUGCGCAUGGAUGUGAAAGCGGUCAAUGCGCAGACAGACACAAACAUCGAAAGGAUGGAUCGACUCCCCCCCGCCCUCGGCCUCGAUCCCGCGGUCUGAGCACCCCCCCUCCCCGCCUCGCACCGGAACUCAGCGCAGCUUCCGCAGUUGAGGAGAGCGACCGAUCAGAGAGGUACGCGCUGCGUCUCAUGCACGAGGAUAAAUGGGGGAAGCGGUUGAAUAGAUUGAGGGUUUUUAUGCAGAUGGACGAUGGGCUGCAUCAGCUCCAAAGCGCCUGUUGGUAAGAUCUCAUCUCAUUUGCCCUCCAGAAAAAAAACUUGAAGGAAGCCUGUUUUUUCUUGUUUUUUUCUGGCAUUUGUUUUGCUGCAGCCUUCAUUUGGGGGUGGGUGGGGGUGCUUGCAGCGCACAGCAUGCUGUGCCUGAAAUGAUGAUGUACAGACAACAGCUUUGCUGCCUCAGAGGGCAGACGUGCCAUCCUCUCCAAAUGCGGCUGAAGCAGAAGCAGUGGGACGGUGUGCACGUGCGCGGAUGUGUCUUGUAGGAGUUGAGGGGAAGGGAUUCUGCAGCCUAAACAUCGCGAUGCGACGAGAGUUGCAAGAAGCUUGUUGGUGAACACGCCAGUCAAGCUUUUGACUCCAUCCAUGCAGGCGCUGCGCGCUUCGAUUCGCUGCGUGAAGCCUCAGCACCGACACCAUGGUUCUGACCGCGCUGACACACUUUAGCUGCAAGGUAGGGACGCUUCUGCAAACUAUUAAGUGACCACUCUCUCAUGUGGCAUCCGAGACGUGUGCGUGGAAUUUUCAAAAUAAACAGGCGCUGUUGCUGCGUUUGCGCGUUCACCCGUCUCUGCGCUCUCGCCAAACAGUGACGCGAGACUCCCCGUCGCUGGACCGACUCUCCUCUGCAGCCAGUAGGUCAAAUCCUGACCCACAUCCAUCGAGCCCACCCUCACCCGCAGACAUGGAGGAUUCUGUUUCAUCGUUCUGUUCAGUCUGAGCUCCGAUCCAACCGCUCUGCGCUCACAGGUCACCCGCCUUGAACGGAUCUCGUGUCACUAAUAUCGCCUUCUCCUCGAAGGACAUGCCUCGUGGGCUCGUGGAGCCUCGAGGAGCCGUUUCCACAGCCACCUGUUUGCCUCCUAUCUCCCCCAUCUUUCCUGCUAAGUGGCCACUCUUGACCUAUUGCGCCAAUUCGUUUAUAAAUCUGCCCCCCCCCCUCCACCUGCAAAAAGUCACGGAGGGAAAAAAAAGGGUAAACGGCGGCGGUCUCUGGAUCUGCAGUUUCCACGACAACGGAAACUACAAGGGAGAAACGGCGCGAGCGAGUGGGAGCCAUGCAGGCCCCCGCGCGCGCAAUUAGCGCAAAGCCUAAAUGCACAAAACAUGAAGACGAUGCUGCAGCCGCGUUUGACAGGGGAUCACAAACACGGAGAUUCAUCAAGAUAACCAGUGAGGCAGCAGCGUCGAAGAGAUCCUUUCUGAAAUGCAACCACUCACUCUUGGAUGUGGAACCGCGACCGCAGAGGCUGACACGUUGCCUGCUCGACUCCUGAGCUCGCUGCAGCUCUUCACGGUGGAAGAAUCUCUGAUUCUGUACGUCACAGAAAUCCCCCAAAAAUAUCAUCUUCUUUUUUUUCACUGUUUGUAAAAGACAGAAGACGCCAAAUCAAAGGGAGAAGAAAACACAUGGAGGAGCCUCUCAUCUUGUUGCUCAUCUGACGUCAUCUGCAUUAUUCACGCAAACACGCAGAGAGGAUUUGUUCCUUGGCGACUGGUUGCCAUGGAAAUGUUCCAACUCAGGAAAACUUAACGUGGACCAUGAGUGAAAACAGGGAAGAAAAAGCAAUGAGUGACAGAAAAUGUGGUGGAGGGAGGUGGCGCUCAGGCUCUUGGCAUAUGUAGAUUUGGGUCCAGUCUGCUGAAGUCAGUCUGGAGCUGGUUUCAAGAGAAAAGACCUCUGAGCACAGAGAUUUCUGUUGAUGUUUGCCAAAUAAACAGUUUCCCUGUGA